RNAcentral lists this long non-coding RNA (8332 nucleotides) under Homo sapiens (human). RNAcentral describes it as "non-protein coding lnc-IRX3-80:23". The record is from RNAcentral. Lineage: Eukaryota; Metazoa; Chordata; Mammalia; Primates; Hominidae.
GCAGCCGCAGCCCCUGGCGCUAACGGUCGGUAACGGCCCGCGCGCGCCGCCCGCCGGGGGCUCGCGCCAGCCACGAGGGAGCGUCCGCGGCCCGCGCGCCCGCGCGGCGGAGGAGAGGUGAGCCCCCGCCCGGGCCAGGCCCUCUGGCCGCGCCGUCCGCCCCUCUAGUCGUGUCCCCUCGUGGGCCGAACGGACGCGGCGGUGCCCCGCGCCCGACCAGACGUCCCGUGGGCUAGGGCCUGGGCCUCGGGCCGCGUCGGCGCCGGUCGAGCCUCUCCGGGUGUCGGGGUUCGGGGCGGGCGCGCGUGGGCGUGGCUCCUCUGUCCACGCCUGUUCCCUUCGUCGCCGCGGCUCUCGUCCGGGACACGGCUUUCCGGAGUAGAGCCCUUGGAGGUGUUAAGUGUGAUGCUUCCAUAAUACAUUUGGAUGCUGUCAGCUAAGUUCACUUCUGAACUAAGGGGUUCCUCCAAAUGUUGGCUGAAAUUCAUCCCAAGGCUGGUCUGCAAGUGAGUGUCUGCACACAGUUUGCUUGUAUGUGGAGUCGAUCCAAAAUAGCAUCAAUGUUGGUUUUACCAAAGUAUUUAUUAUUGAUAAUAGAGGCUAAGUACAAAAUGUAGAGAAUGUCAGCUACUUGAGGCCUUUGAUUAUUAAAAAUUUUAUUAAUGCAUUAAACAAGAGUACAGUAAAUAGAUAAAUUUUAGGUUCAUGAAAUAAAACUGAAUAAUUUAUUUUUACUUACUAUUUAUCAUGGAAUUACUUUGAAUAAUUUAUUUUUAAUGGUAUAAUUGGACAGUAAAAUUUAUAAACUCAGUGCUUUUCAUAAAAAUCAAAGUGAAGUUUGUAAUAUUUUAUACAAAUAGAAUUAUUAUUUAAGAGAAAUAACCUGUUUAUGCCUAAUUACAGUUUUUAAUCAUUUCAGUUACCUAUUUCUUUUAAGAAUAAAUUUAGUGGGAAUAUCAGUUCCAGUCAUGGGUACCAAACUUUUUUAGUGACAGAGUACACACAGGUAUGUAAAACUUGUCAUUUCUCAUCAAAUAGAGGCUGCUGAAUAUAGGCAGGUAAGAAAAGCUAUGAGAAAGAAUUGUUUUGCAGAAUAUUUGUCUAGUUGUCAGAGCAAGGAACUGAAUUUAUUGACACAGAACAUUUUAUUAAGUAAAAAAAAUGGUUCUUAUAACAAAAAAAAAAGCUAAUUUUACAGAAGGCAGUAGUUAAUAUAGCCGCCAAUAAAAUAAAUGUUUCUCUGAAUACUUUCCGAGGCAUUACAGUGAUUUUUAACUAAUAUGAAGUGAUAUAUAAUAAUUUUAAAGUAACAUCCUUGAGUUUUCCUAUUAUUAAUUGCUUAUGGAAAUUGGGUUUCACGUAUGACUGAGAGCUAAAGCAUUACAGUGAGUUAGAAAACACAACACAAAUGUAAAGAAAAUGUUAGGUGGUGAGUAAUCUGAUUCCUUUUUGUUUGCCUUUAAGCUUAGUUUUUUGUUUUGUUUUACUUUGUUUUAAACCAUGUAUAAAAUUGUUGAAUUUAAAAGAUAAGAGGAUUAAGUAAUUUCUUUUUUCCUCCUAAGGAUAAAUGUAGGAAAAAUCUAAACACAUAGGCAGAUUGGUUGAGUUUUAUAUCUGUUAUCGGCCACAUUUAUUAAGAUUCAUAUUUCAUGUAUAUUAGAGGUAUUCACAUGUAUUAAAAUUCUUAUAUUCCUUCUAUAUAAAAUAGAUGUAGGGGGUUCCCACUCUUGAAAAUAUGAAGAAAAGAUGUCCUUUCAGCAAUAAUGGGUUAUGGUUGAUUAACUGAGAAGGUUGUAUUAAACGUUCUCUAGUAGAAAUGGCUAAAGAGCAUGCUUUUUGAGAAGUGUAUCAUCUAGGAAGAAAAUCAAAUGGAGUAUUGGUAAUUAAAUUGUAAUUCCAUGAAGGAAGGAAGUGGUGCAAAAGAUGAAGCUAACUAUUCCUGUUUUUCUUUUUAAGAGUCUGCAAUUCAUAAUGGAGCUACUGUACUGGCUAUUGGAAGGAGGAGAUUCUGAAGAUAAGGAGGUAAUAUUAUCUCUUUUAAAAGAAUACUUUCCUCUGUAAUCCUGAAUCUUUAUUACAUGUAAGAACUUUGUGCAGUAGACAGCAAUUUCUUUGAAUUUGGUAUAUGGAAACAAUUUUAUUUUCCUCUGCUAAGUUUUUGAGCCUGCCUCUUCUAGUGCCAUGGACUGCAUUGGUAGAGCUGAGAAAUAUCAUUUAGCCAUACUCAGCACCCUUAAAAUAGCUUCUUUCUGAGAAUUAGAUCUGUGAAGGUGUCCUGCACAGUUCUUGUAGAUGUCAUUUUAGUUUGUGGUUGACGUGCAUGCAUUUAGCAUGUUGCUUAACCGUCCUCAUUCGCCUCCCAGUUCUUUGUUGCCUUCAUUUGGGGGGAUGUGUUUUCUGCUGGAUGAUUUACUGCUAGACAUGACCAAACUCUGAGUAUAAGACUUGGUGUUUGGCAGCUGGUUCCAGUGCUCUGCUGAGAAGUAGUUGGGCCCAGCCUGGGGCAUUGUAGUGUCCUGGAGGCCGGGAGCUCCUGCACAGGGGUUCUUUUCCUGGUUCAGAGCCUUAGGUGCCUUUCCACUUUUCACGUAAUCUUUUCCUAGGUUGGCUUGCUGCUUACUUUGCAGCUGUUGCAGGGAUUCACAUGGAAUGGAGGGCUCCCUUUUAUUGUGGAUUAUUUCUUUGAUAAUUUACCCAUGUGCUUUUUCAUUUUCAAAAACCCAGUGGUGUUUAAGAAUGAAAGAUUCUUGAAGAACAAAAAUUGGGUUAAAUUUGUAUCUAUCAGAAAAGAUUCUAUCCUCUGAUGCUAUGUAGGCACAUUGAAUAUGCAGGCUAAAUUAAAAACAGAGUAAAACCUUUUUAUAAUAUGCCAAUUACUAUAUCUAAGAAUGUUUAUACAGGCUGAAAUUUUGUAAUGGUAUUUAUAUCUGUUUUCCUUUUUAAGGAAAAUAAUAUACUUUUCUAGGCAUCAAAAAUAUCUGCCCCUUUCACUAAUGCUGAUGUACCACCUUCCCCCAACCCCCAACGCUAAAUUUGACUGGCUUAAAAACAUCUGCCCCCUGAACUAUAUCUGGGGAGGAAUAUUAAUAAAACAAUGAAGGACUUCAUGGUGUCUAGUUAUAUAAUUAGGAAAUUGGUUAGAAACGUGGCUAAAACCAGUUUCUUUCAUUAAAAGAACUAGUGUACAUUUAAAAACAAAAACCUUCAGGAAAAAGACUCUUUGAUCUUUAAGUCAAAUAGUAUUUUUGGUUAACACAGCAGGAAGGGGAAAUAUACCAAUUUCAGAUUCUUUUAUUUAUGCCUAAGUAGAGGUUGUAAGCAGCUAAGGAAGUGAUUAAAAUGUAGUCUAGUAAAAAAUGGUGCUGAUUACUUGGAAAGCAGUUUACAUUUGCAAAAAAAUUCAGUAUUAUGACCUUCACCAACUUUUACACAUCAUAUACUUGGGUUAUUACUUAUGGUAUAGCUUGUGUAUGGAAUGCAAGGGUAUUUUCAAAUUGACUAGGUCUUGCUGGUCAUCUUAAAAUAUGUUACAAUAUUACAAAAUUGAAAUGUAAUAUUUUUUAAUAGAAGGAAAAUAUAAAUUUAAUAUCUGGGCAAUUGAGACCUUUAAACUUACUUUAAAAGUAUGAUCUUGAUGUAUAUGAUACUGUUUUGUCUUUGCUAUAUUAACAGAAUUAGAGGGGUGUUCUGCAAUUCAAAUACCUUAUAUAUUCCAAAUUUUAUUCUCUAUAAUGGACUUUUAAAAUAAAAGGUAUAUGUGCUUCAAGAGGGCAAAAUUUGAAUCAUGAGCUAAUUUGCUAAGCAUCAGAUUAUAGAAAAGCAUCCUUGAUUAAUUUGGAACUGUGAAAGGGGGCGGGUAAAACUGUUUUCUGCAGAAAUUUACUAGUGCAGCAACCAUUUAAAUUAAAUGUUUGUUAACAUAAUAGUGAUGGCAUUUUCUCCUCCCCCUCCUUGUGGUUUUGUCCAACUAGAUGUUACAGUGGCAGUUGCACUGACUGUUAAGUGUUUAAAUGAUGACACCAUUAUGUGAAGUGAUUUUGAAAUGAGAGAUUCCAGCCAAGAAUUACAUCUGCUCCCAUCUCCUUCAAAUCAUACUCUCUGGCAGUACAGAUUAUGAUUGAUUUGUUUGUGACAGAUUGCAGGAAACAGUCAUUGAUUUUUCAAUAUUUUACCUUAAAAUUAUUUACAGUUGUAACCAUGGGGAGGUAUUUUCAUGGGCUGUCAGCCCCUGAAAGACUAGGAUAAUAUUCCCUGCUCUCUGACAAGACAAAUUACCUGUAAUGAGUGCAGUAGCUGAAGGGUAUACUUUUAUUUUAAAAUAUGUCAAUAACCCCAGUGACUAAACGAAUAUUGAUUUAGCAUAAUGAAGCCUGAGUAACGUGAAAAUGAGCUUUUUCAAGGGGCAUGGUAAAGUCUUUCUUUUUAGCUGGUUGUAAGAAGCUUUUGAUUCUUUUCAGCCAGCUGGUAGGAAUAUAGAAUUUUAUAAGCAAACCAUCAGGAAUGAUAGUGUUGUUUCUGAUAAGCAACAUCCAAAUAUUUUGACCCUGCUUUUAGUGGUUUUUUUCAAAUCUUAUUUUGAGUCUUACUUUUAGUCAUAGAAUAGCUACUGAUUUGAUGCGGUCUUUAACUGACUUAAUAUUUUUACAAUUUCAAUAUAUUUUGCAUUGGAAUCUCCAGUAAUGAAUAUUAAAAUAUAUGUACAAUCAUUUGUAGAUGAUAUCAAUUAUAUUAAGACAUUUCAGAUGGGCUAUUGUAGUAUUUAAUGUGCCGUAUUUUAUGGUAGAAUAAUUCUCAGUCUCUGGACAUCAAGAUUGCUUUCAGUGGGAAUGAAGAUUAAUUUACUUCAGUCCUGAUUUUUUAGGCAUCAAUGCAUGUUUUCAUUUUUGUCAGACUUUUACCCUCUUUUAAUGUAAUUCUCAACUUCUUAUGGAUUUACUUCCCAAUACAUAAAAUCCUUCAAAACAAGAAUGAUAAUAAUUUUUAUACUUUUUAUAAAAAUAAAUUUAUUUUUAGUCCAUCAAGGUGUCUGAAGAUUUUAUGCCUAGGUAUCUCCAUAUCUAACUUGAUAAGGAAAAUAGGAUAAACAAUGCUGGUAAUAGCAGGAAAGUAAGUAUUUGAAUAAGAUGUCAAACUGAUAUUUCAUGUGAACCUAACUCAUUUUAUGGUAACUAAUAAUUAUCUUAUUUAAAUCAAUAGGUAAAACCUGUUUAGAAAUUAAAAAUGAGUUACGAUUUAAAGAAAAUUCAGAUGACUCAUUGUGAGUGCUAGUUCUCUUGUAGGAUGCCACUGGAAAUGUUGAAAUGAAAAAUAUUCAGCCGUUGGUCUUUGAAAUUUCCUGUGAUGUGUUUCAAUCUAGAUGCAAAGAACAUGGAAAAAUCAAAGUGCUCGAGUGGUUUAAAUAUGUUUUGGGUAUUCCUGUUUAUAGACUAUAAUACUUUUCCAAUUAAAAUCCUCAGUUGUCACGCAGAAGAAGGUUAAGCUGUAUUUGAUUGCCAGUUUUACUGAAAAUGCUUAGUAUUUUACAGUAUCACCAAAUAUAUUUUGUUUAGCCAAGGUAUAGGAAAAAUAAAAUAAAUUGUAUAGGUUGACUUUUUUCUAAAAUGUCUUUAUUGGAUUGAAUGAAUGUUUAUACCUGAAAAAAAAAGGUUCAAAAAAAUUCCUUUUUCUAUCAGAGUCAUUCUUUUGACAAUCAGAUAUUAGACUAGGUUUAAAAUAACUUUCUAAUAUGACUCAUAUUUAUGGGAGGAAAAAGACUUGAAAGAUAUUCCUAUGUGUACUUUAAUUUUCUGUAAUAGUCCCUCUGGAAUAGAAUAUCUCUUCCUCAAACAAAUCUAUUGGCUCAUUUCAUAUACAAGAAAAAGUUGCCCUAAAUGGCAGAGUUUCAUCUCUGUAAAGAAGGCUGACAUCCACUUCCUUCACAGAAUCCCUGCAUUUGGGUAAUUGAGUAAUGAUAGAUUACCUUGCCAUUGGGAAAUACCUUGUUGUGGCCUUUGUAGCAGCUAUAGGAAGAUGGAAGAAUUCUUUUGUAUAGACAGGUCUCUAGCCUCUUUGGUGUGGACACUGUGAAGGGGUACAUCUGGUGAGAAGGAGUGCUUAGGGAAGGAACUGGGAAGGUCCACAAAGGCUGAUGAUGACAAAGAAUCCAAGGGCUAUGAUGAAUUCUUAAGCUUAGAUCUCAGAGUCAUAAAGUAAAUUUAUUAGGCUAGAGAGAUUUCCUUUUUUAUUUUUGAUCAAACUUUAUUUUUUCAGAUUGUUAAGUUCACAUGCAGUUGUACAAAAUAAUACAGAGAUCUUUGAACACUACCCAGUUUCUCCUAAUAGUAACUUCUUGCAAUAUACUGUAUAGCACAGCAUCACAACCUGGAUACUGACAUUGAUGCAGUCAAGACAGAGAACAUUUAUAUCAUGAGGAGGAUCCCUCAUUACCGCCCUUUGAUAUCCACCCCUACUUCCAGACCAUCUCACUCCUCCCUUAACCCUGGCAACCACUAGCAUGUUCUCCAUUUCUAUAAAUUUGCCUUUAUAGGAAUGUUAUAUAAUUGCAAUUAAAGUGUGUAACCUUUUGGGGUUUGACUCACCCGGCAUCAUUUUCUGGAGAUUCAGCUUAUAUGUGUCAAUAGUUUGUUCCCUUUUUUUUAGUUCAGUAGUAUUCUGUGGUACGUGUGUACCACAUCACUCAUCAAUUCGGACUUCUGGGUUGUAUCUGGUAUUUGAUUAUUACAAAUAGAAGUACUAUAUAUAUAUUCGUGUAGAGGUUUCUGUGUGAACAUAAACUUUCAUUUUCCUGGGACAGAUGCCCACGAGUGAAAAUUGUGAGUCAUAUGGUAAUUAUGUAGAGUAUUUUUUUUUUGAGACGAUUUGUUUAUGAUUUUAAAACAUAAAAAUAUAAGUUGUAGCCAAAUAUAAGGAAGGAUUUUUCCACAAUCUAGACUUUAUUCUUAUUUUAGAGAAAUACUUUUGAAAAAAUUGCUUUAUUGGCAAACAAUUCCUAUGUAAAGGAAUAAAAGACGCAUAUACUCUAGGAAAGAUGUUGCAAAGCUGACAGGCAACUUUGAGAAAGAUGAGGGCAGUUUUCCAGUGUUACUGGAGACUUGACAUUCAAGGAUGUAUUAUGAUAGUUUCUGAAUUGAUAGAUUCUUUAGCGUUUGUCACUACCCUCAGGCCUGCAGUUUUUAUUUGUAGAAUUAACUCAUCUUUACAAUGCUUUGUUGAGUGCUGUUGCAGAAAAUGCUCAUGUAAUUCAAUUAUAUGCAGUUAGGAAAAAGAAGUAUCUUUUUCUAGUACAUGGCCCCUAAAAUGAUGACUUUCCACAAUGCUGAAUGGAGGAAACAGCUCUGUUUCCAUCAAACUCUGGUGGAAAUUAUACAAAGUUAUAUUAUGCUUUAUGAGACAUAGUGAGGUAGUACACAACCAUAUAUGCUAUAUUAUUGGGGAGACCCACUGAAAGAAUUUUCAAGGAUAAUUUUUGCUCUGAUUUUCUAUCAUGUAUAUUGACUUUAUUGAUUGAUUGAUUGAGAUGGAGUCUCACCCCGUCACCCAGGCUGAAGUGCAGUGGUGCAAUCUCUGCUCACUGCAACCUCCGCCUCUCAGGUUCAAGUGAUCCUCGUGCCUCAGCCUCCCGAGUAGCUGAGACUAUAGGUGUGUGCUACGAUGCCCAGCUAAUUUUUGUAUUUUUAGUAGAGACAGGAUUUGGUAGCCUGGUCUCGAACUCCUGACCUCAGGUGAUCUACCCACCUUGGCCUCCCAAAAUACUGGGAUUACAGGUGUGAGCCACCGUGCUGGCCAAGUAUAUUGACUUUAAAACGUUACCGGCUGGGCGUGGUGGUUCACGCCUGUUAUCCCAGCACUUUGGGAGCCCGAGGCGGAUGGAUUACCUGAAGUCAGGAGUUCGAGACCAGCCCAACCUGGUGAAACCCCGUCUCUACUAAAAAUACACAAAUUAGCCGGGCGUGGUGGCAGGCGCCUAUAAUCCCAACUACUGGGAAGGCUGAGGCAGGAGAAUUGCUUGAACCUGGCAGGCGGAGGCUGCAGUGAGCCAAGACUGCGCCACUGCACUCCAGCCUGGGCAACAAGAGCAAAACUCAGUCUCAAAAAAAACAGAAAAAAAAAGUUACCACGGGUGAAACAUUGGGCUGGUCACAGUGAUCCUUCUAACAGCAGUCAAUAUUAUAAAUCUAGCUUUUUUUUUUGAGUGAGAUACUAGGCCCAGGGAACCCGAGUCUUUCAAUCCUCAUGAAUAUAGUUUAAUCUUUAGCUCAUUAUGGUCAUGACCAUAGUUAAAUAAAUGACACGAGAUAAUAAAAUAGUCUUUGCCCUUAAAACUGACCUGGGU